GGCGACGUGGCCAAGUGGUAAGGCAGAGGUUUGCAAAACCUUCAUUCGUGGGUUCGAAUCCCACCGUCGCCU
Molecule: transfer RNA, 72 nt
Filed under: Chloroflexota bacterium
Lineage: Bacteria; Bacillati; Chloroflexota
Also listed under: 2 other names
Description: Chloroflexi bacterium tRNA-Cys
Rfam family: tRNA
About the family: Transfer RNA (tRNA) molecules are approximately 80 nucleotides in length. Their secondary structure includes four short double-helical elements and three loops (D, anti-codon, and T loops).
Source: RNAcentral